RNAcentral lists this ribosomal RNA (464 nucleotides) under Vreelandella stevensii. Its description in RNAcentral is "partial 16S ribosomal RNA". It matches the Rfam family "Bacterial small subunit ribosomal RNA", at positions 338 to 795 of the family's 1533-position model. Lineage: Bacteria; Pseudomonadati; Pseudomonadota; Gammaproteobacteria; Oceanospirillales; Halomonadaceae. The record is from RNAcentral.
CCUACGGGUGGCAGCAGUGGGGAAUAUUGGACAAUGGGCGAAAGCCUGAUCCAGCCAUGCCGCGUGUGUGAAGAAGGCCUUCGGGUUGUAAAGCACUUUCAGUGGGGAAGAAAGCCUUGGGGCUAAUACCCUCGAGGAAGGACAUCACCCACAGAAGAAGCACCGGCUAACUCCGUGCCAGCAGCCGCGGCAAUACGGAGGGUGCGAGCGUUAAUCGGAAUUACUGGGCGUAAAGCGCGCGUAGGCGGUCUGAUAAGCCGGUUGUGAAAGCCCCGGGCUCAACCUGGGAACGGCAUCCGGAACUGUCAGGCUAGAGUGCAGGAGAGGAAGGUAGAAUUCCCGGUGUAGCGGUGAAAUGCGUAGAGAUCGGGAGGAAUACCAGUGGCGAAGGCGGCCUUCUGGACUGACACUGACGCUGAGGUGCGAAAGCGUGGGUAGCAAACAGGAUUAGAUACCCGGUAGUC